UACAGAGGUCUCAAGCGUUGUUCGGAUUUACUGGGCGUAAAGGGCGCGUAGGCGGCCUGUUAAGUCGAACGUGAAAUCCCCGGGCUCAACCCGGGAACUGCGUCCGAUACUGGCAGGCUUGAAUUCGGGAGAGGGAUGUGGAAUUCCAGGUGUAGCGGUGAAAUGCGUAGAUAUCUGGAGGAACACCGGUGGCGAAGGCGGCAUCCUGGACCGAUAUUGACGCUGAUGCGCGAAAGCCAGGGGAGCAAACGGG
Molecule: ribosomal RNA, 253 nt
Filed under: uncultured bacterium
Lineage: Bacteria
Description: partial 16S ribosomal RNA
Rfam family: Bacterial small subunit ribosomal RNA
Source: RNAcentral